This is a long non-coding RNA of Passer domesticus (house sparrow), 1317 nucleotides long. RefSeq lists it as uncharacterized. The transcript is spliced from 3 exons. NCBI's taxonomy places the organism in Eukaryota, Metazoa, Chordata, Aves, Passeriformes, Passeridae. The record is from RefSeq and is a predicted model, not a curated record.
UGAGCAUCCAAACCAGAUGUUUACCUUCCUUGCAAAUGGCCAGCGAUAGCAUUAGUCACACACCUGAGCUGCAUCAGGUGAUAGUAAUAUUAGGAUAACUAAGAACAAGACUCAUGGAGUUGCUUUGGGGAUUAAAAAAAAAAAAAAGGCAGAUUAAAUUUUUCUCUCAAAUUGCAAUUAAAAAAAAAUUAUUGCUCCUCUUUUUUUCUUUUUUACAUUUUCUCCUCUUCCUUGCACCCAGGAGCUUAGCACACAGCUCUUGACUUCAACUUUUUAGCUUGGCCAUGUUUUUUUGUAUCUGCUAAGCCUCUUCCAGCAGUCAAUAGAAAAGCUCCCCAAGAAGCCAGCAGGCCUCGGGUGCGUCCCGCUGCCCUCCUCCGAGCUGGCCCUACACACAAAAGUGGAAAGCUGUUGGGGUCGCGUGGUGACAGGCAGCAGUGCCAAUGUUUGGAGAAGACAGACAGACAGCACAGGCAAUUCCUGAGCCCCAGAACCUGUGCUAACACCAGGAGACUGCUUGGACACCAUAAUUCCUGGGGUGACCCUUAGAGAGUGUUUUGGAUUCCCACUACAGGAACUUUAAGCCCGUGCAGGAUGUCCCGGGUGAAAGAGAGCGGAGAGAGGUGGGGACAGCUGCGGCAGCUCCAGCCAAAAUCCUCGGUGGGAUGCAAGAUGCUCGUCUCUCCUUGGAGCAUGAAAAAUCCCAGCUGUGGCUCUGCAGAGCCUUUUGUUACCCAUCUCAGCCGUAGAAAUCCUUCAGCCAUGUUUAUAAAGAGAUAGCACGGGGUCAAUGGAAUAAGCACGGCCUCUUUUCUUCCAGCCCUCUUGAAAGCGUGCCCUUUUAAUGGCAAAAUGCAUGAAAAAUUAGAUAGCUGGCUGUAUCACCUUCCUGAGGGAUAGGUACAGCAAACCCAGGGUUUUACAAACAAAGAAUUACACAAGUUCCUGCAUUAAACGUCUUUUUUGCCUUUCAAAUUCACUCCCUUGGCUGCACAUUUGUAGUCAUCAGCCCCACAAGGCUCCAGGCAGAUGGAGGUGAGGCUUCAGGAACACCCCGCACUCCCAUCCACCCCUGGCUGGUCCUCACCUAAAUCCCACUAAAUCCCACUCAGGGACCCAGUCAGGGAGCACAGAGCCACUGUCAUGGACCUGUGGCAUUUUGGGCUGAGUCACCCCAUUGAGACAGACAGACUAUAGGUAGCUUUGCUGUCAUCUUCUCACCAUUUCAAACAGAAAGUGGCUGGAACAGGUUUGAGACAGCGUUUGAAGCUUGCAAAAGAUUGAGAGAAAAGACAACAGUAAACUCUUUUUUUUUUU